Molecule: long non-coding RNA, 1305 nt
Filed under: Marmota monax (woodchuck)
Lineage: Eukaryota; Metazoa; Chordata; Mammalia; Rodentia; Sciuridae
Source: RNAcentral
UGAGAGCGCGGCGUGGGGGGAGGGGGGUAGGAAGGACUCGAAGGGCCCAUCCGCGCACUGCCUGAGCUCGGCUCGGCUGAGUGGGGGGUCAGCCUCCUGCCAGACCACUAUGCCUCACGGCCUGGCUCGCCAUCGGUCCAGCGGCGGCCGGGUCUCCGUUGCUGAGCUGGGCGUUCCCAUCGCGGCGACUGCGCGCCCCAGAACAGAUCCAGUCUCGCGCCUUCCCUGAACUCCUCACCGCACCCCUGCGUGCCUCCCGAAUCGACUUUCUGGAUGAGGCAAUGAGGUAACCAGGAGGUUCCCCGCCCCUGCGUUGGGUGACGACGCCAAGUCAGGCGCCAAGGGACUGAGCCUUGCCCCCGCGCAGCCUUGGCGCCUUGGUCUCCCUGGGCCCCGCCUCUCCAGUACCCAGGGCGAGCUCUGGGCUCAACAAGCAGCGGAGACGUCAGUCUAAAUAUCAGCUGGCAUCUCAAGGCUUUUCUGUGUCCAGGUUCUGGCUUCUCAACUUGAGUGCAAAGCCCUCCGUGCCCAGGCAAGGAGGAGACAGGAAGAUGGUAGGGAAAGCUGGGAGCAGGGCAGGGAGAGGAGGUGAGCUGAGCAUCUACUUCUUUCCCCAGGUUCUGGGACUAAUAUAAUGGGCGGCGCCUGAGAGGAGGUACAGAGGGCCAAAGCUGCUAUGAGGUGACCUGCCCUCCCCAGGACUUCCACCAGAAGUGAGCUGUCUUCAGGGCACAGGGGCAUUUCAGUGCCUGAAGUAUAGACAAGGCAUACCUGCUGGUCUCCCAGCGCCUGUGAACCACUUGCCUCCCAAACUAGCAGGAGGGCCUUGGCCUUUAUCUCCCCAGGCCAACGCAGAGAAGGGCCCUGGAGAGCAGAAAUACUUUUUUAGGCAAAAGUUUUACACAGGGUGCCCUGGGCCUGGCCUGGUUUGUGGGAGCUAUCAGAGAGCCAGAGAGACCACCUGCCUGCCUCCUGAGGCGACUCUGCUCUCAGUGAAUGCUGUCAAACUCCUGUGAGACCUCCACUCACUAUACACUUCUAUAUCUGGGUUGUAGGACUGGUGUUGGAUGCUGUAGGUGGUCGGGCCUUAGAAAUCUUUGAGUGCAACCCUAUCACAUUUGAGGGGAAAUAUUUCUCUGAAACACUUGUGUGGUCAGAAGGUCUUUGGGGAUGCUGAUGAGAUGACACAAUUUAUGCAACCUUUCUAUUUCUUGAAUCUCUCUGUGAACCCUGAGAGGGUUGAGGAAGUUCUUCCUGACAGUGAUGACGAUGAAAAAAAAUUAAAAAAGAGGAAUCACCACAUCU